CAAGUGGAUAUAGUUUAUAAAAAUGUUAGUCUGUGGCCCUAACGAAAAGAGUCAAAACUCUUUAUCCACC
This 70-nucleotide transfer RNA is filed under the name Uroplatus sameiti. Its description in RNAcentral is "tRNA-His". It matches the Rfam family "tRNA". Rfam says of the family: Transfer RNA (tRNA) molecules are approximately 80 nucleotides in length. Lineage: Eukaryota; Metazoa; Chordata; Lepidosauria; Squamata; Gekkonidae. The record is from RNAcentral.